UGCGUGUUAGGCGUCGGGUAUAAGAGUCCCUGCGCGGCUUACGUUGGCCUCUUUGUCCUGCGGGAUGUCGGCUGUGAGCUCGUGCUAUGUGGGGGCCAGCAUGCUGGGCGGACAGGAGAGCAUCAUGCGACUUGUGGCGGUGACCUGAAGACUUCCCUGGGGAGCUGAGUGUGAUGGAUUCUGAUUUAUGGAGGAUGGGGCUAGUGAACUGCACAAUAGCAGAUCGACCCUGGUGACUUCUGAUGCUAAUUAGCCAGUCUUGUCUGAUACAUGACCUCCAGCAGGUGAUGCACUGAAACGAAACGCCUCCUCUUGUCUUCAAUGGGAGUCUGUCUCUGCCUAUGUGGCUGAGGAUUUUAUAUAAAAAAAAUUGAGAUGGUGAUGGCACCUUGUCUGCGGGGCCUGUGCUCUACAUGAGUAGUGAUGGCGCUAAUCUGUAGAGGAUGGGAUCAUGUUGCCAGACCUGAGCAGUGAUGGCGCUAAUCUGUAGAGGAUGGGAUCAUGUUGUCAGACAUGAGCAGUGAUGGCGUCUAAUCUCUGCAGGGGAGGGUCUGCUGCCAGACAUGAUCGGCAAAUCUAUCAUGGACAGAUUAUGAACAAUGGAAGACCUGGUCCUCAGAUAACCCUGAUAUGUCUGUGGCCCCUGAGGCAGACUGCAGAUGUAUUUCCUUCACUCAUGGGGUAGGGGGCAGUCCUGUCUGGUUGCUGCUAUGCUGCCCUCUGCUGGAAUCUGAAUAAACAAAUUGUUUAUGCAAACUG
Molecule: long non-coding RNA, 759 nt
Organism: Bufo bufo (common toad)
Lineage: Eukaryota; Metazoa; Chordata; Amphibia; Anura; Bufonidae
Exons: 9
Source: RefSeq, a predicted model, not a curated record